GCAUUAAUGGGGUAGUGGUAACCUGGGUCGUUCAUCUUCAACAUUCGAAUCAGAGUCCUGUAUAUGUCGACCUGCCGGGGGUUCGACUCCCUCUUAAUGCA
Molecule: non-coding RNA, 101 nt
Organism: Coprinopsis sp. MPI-PUGE-AT-0042
Lineage: Eukaryota; Fungi; Basidiomycota; Agaricomycetes; Agaricales; Psathyrellaceae
Source: the annotation of a GenBank genome assembly